CCUACGGGAGGCAGCAGUGAGGAAUAUUGGUCAAUGGGCGUAAGCCUGAACCAGCCAAGUCGCGUGAGGGAUGAAGGUUCAAUGGAUCGUAAACCUCUUUUAUAAGGGAAUAAAGUGCGGGACGCGUCCCGUUAUGUAUGUACCUGAAGAAUAAGGAUCGGCUAACUCCGUGCCAGCAGCCGCGGUAAUACGGAGGAUGCGAGCGUUAUCCGGAUUUAUUGGGUUUAAAGGGUGCGUAGGCGGCCUUUUAAGUCAGCGGUGAAAGGCUGGGGCUCAACCAUCGAAUUGCCGUUGAAACUGGGAGGAUUGAGUAGGAGAGAGGCAGGCGGAAUGCGUGGUGUAGCGGUGAAAUGCAUAGAUAUCGCGCAGAACCCCGAUUGCGAAGGCAGCCUGCCAGGCCAUGACUGACGCUGAUGCACGAAAGCGUGGGGAUCGAACAGGAUUAGAUACCCUUGUAGUC
Molecule: ribosomal RNA, 460 nt
Filed under: uncultured bacterium
Lineage: Bacteria
Description: partial 16S ribosomal RNA
Rfam family: Bacterial small subunit ribosomal RNA
Source: RNAcentral